AUGGAUCUUCGGGGUAAGGUGAAAUUCCUGACCGGCGGUGAACGUCCUUGAACGCCAAAGCGACGUCAAGCCCGCGACUCCUGCUUUUCAAGCGAUUGAAAGGCAGCGACUGACCUGGUGGGAUUCCAGGGCCGACGGUAAAGUCCGGAUGGGAGAAGAUCAAU
This 164-nucleotide non-coding RNA is filed under the name Paenibacillus sp. Its description in RNAcentral is "FMN sequence". It matches the Rfam family "FMN riboswitch aptamer (RFN element)". Rfam says of the family: The RFN element is a highly conserved domain that is found frequently in the 5'-untranslated regions of prokaryotic mRNAs that encode for flavin mononucleotide (FMN) biosynthesis and transport proteins. This element is a metabolite-dependent riboswitch that directly binds FMN in the absence of proteins. Lineage: Bacteria; Bacillati; Bacillota; Bacilli; Caryophanales; Paenibacillaceae. The record is from RNAcentral.